ACCCGCUGAACUUAAGCAUAUCAAUAAGCGGAGGAAAAGAAACCAACAGGGAUUGCCCUAGUAACGGCGAGUGAAGCGGCAAGAGCUCAAAUUUGAAAUCUGGCCCCCUGCGGGGUCCGAGUUGUAAUUUGCAGAGGGUGCUUUGGCGUUGGCUGUGGUCUAAGUUCCUUGGAACAGGACGUCGCAGAGGGUGAGAAUCCCGUAUGUGGCCGCCAGCCUCCGCCGUGUAAAGCCCCUUCGACGAGUCGAGUUAUUUGGGAAUGCAGCUCUAAAUGGGAGGUAAAUUUCUUCUAAAGCUAAAUACUGGCCAGAGACCGAUAGCGCACAAGUAGAGUGAUCGAAAGAUGAAAAGCACUCUGGAAAGAGAGUCAAAAAGCACGUGAAAUUGUUGAAAGGGAAGCGCUUGCAGCCAGACUUGCCUGUAGUUGCUCAUCCGGGCUCUCGCCCGGUGCACUCUUCUACGGGCAGGCCAGCAUCAGUCCGGGCGGUUGGAUAAAUGCCUGCUAAAUGUACCUCUCCUCGGGGAGGACUUAUAGGGUAGGCGGCAUACGACCAGCCUGGACUGAGGUCCGCGCAUCUGCUAGGAUGCUGGCGUAAUGGCUGU
Molecule: ribosomal RNA, 604 nt
Filed under: uncultured fungus
Lineage: Eukaryota; Fungi
Description: eukaryotic LSU rRNA
Rfam family: Eukaryotic large subunit ribosomal RNA
Source: RNAcentral